CCUACGGGUGGCAGCAGUGGGGGAUAUUGCACAAUGGGGGGAACCCUGAUGCAGCGACGCCGCGUGGGUGAAGAAGCGCCUCGGCGCGUAAAGCCCUGUCAGCAGGGAAGAAAAUGACGGUACCUGAAGAAGAAGCCCCGACUAACUACGUGCCAGCAGCCGCGGUAAUACGUGGGGGGCAAGCGUUAUCCGGAUUUACUGGGUGAAAAGGGGGCGCAGAGGGCGAUGCAAGCCAGGAGUGAAAGCCCGGGCCCAACCCCGGGACUGCUCUUGGAACUGCGUGGCUGGAGUGCAGGAGGGGCAGGCGGAAUUCCUGGUGUAGCGGUGAAAUGCGUAGAUAUCAGGAGGAACACCGGUGGCGAAGGCGGCCUGCUGGACUGCAACUGACGUUGAGGCCCGAAAGCGUGGGGAGCAAACAGGAUUAGAUACCCUUGUAGUC
This 439-nucleotide ribosomal RNA is filed under the name uncultured bacterium. Its description in RNAcentral is "partial 16S ribosomal RNA". It matches the Rfam family "Bacterial small subunit ribosomal RNA", at positions 338 to 795 of the family's 1533-position model. The record is from RNAcentral.